RNAcentral lists this ribosomal RNA (688 nucleotides) under uncultured bacterium. RNAcentral's name for it is "bacterial SSU rRNA". It matches the Rfam family "Bacterial small subunit ribosomal RNA", at positions 128 to 794 of the family's 1533-position model. The record is from RNAcentral.
ACCCCAAACCCUAGGAUAACUCUCCGAAGGGAGGGCUAAUACCGGAUAGGGUCCCCGAGGUAUAGGCUGCGGGGGGAAAAUGAGCCUCUGUUUCAUGCUCAUGGUUCGGGAUGAGCUUGCGGCCCAUGAGCUAGUUGGUAGGGUAAUGGCCUACCAAGGCUACGAUGGGUAGCUGGUCUGAGAGGAUGAUCAGCCACACUGGCACUGAGACACGGGCCAGACUCCUACGGGAGGCAGCAGUGGGGAAUUUUGCGCAAUGGGCGAAAGCCUGACGCAGUAACGCCGCGUGGAGGAUGAAGGCCUUCGGGUUGUAAACUCCUGUCAGGGGGAACGACGGGGAAAGGGUGAUAAGCCCUUUCUUCCAGACGGUACCUCCAAAGGAAGCCCCGGCUAAUUCCGUGCCAGCAGCCGCGGUAAUACGGAAGGGGCAAGCGUUGUUCGGAAUUAUUGGGCGUAAAGGGCGCGUAGGUGGUUUUGUAUGUCUACCGUGAAAGCGUACGGCUCAACCGUAUUUAGUCGGUAGAAACUGCAGGACUUGAGGCUGGGAGGGGCUGGUGGAAUUCCCUGUGUAGCGGUGAAAUGCGUAGAGAUGGGGGAGAACACUCGUGGCGAAGGCGGCCAGCUGGACCAGUUCUGACACUGAGGCGCGACAGCGUGGGGAGCAAACAGGAUUAGAUACCCUGGUAGU